UUGUUCUCAGGGCGGGGUGUGAUUCCCCACCGGCGGUAAGGUCAUUCACCCGAUGUGGGUGGUCAAGCCCGCGAGCGCCACAUUUUCCUUAUGGAGGGUGUGGGUCAGCAGAUCCGGUGAGAUUCCGGAGCCGACGGUCAUAGUCCGGAUGAAAGAGAAC
Molecule: non-coding RNA, 160 nt
Filed under: uncultured Corynebacterium sp.
Lineage: Bacteria; Bacillati; Actinomycetota; Actinomycetes; Mycobacteriales; Corynebacteriaceae
Description: FMN riboswitch (RFN element)
Rfam family: FMN riboswitch aptamer (RFN element)
About the family: The RFN element is a highly conserved domain that is found frequently in the 5'-untranslated regions of prokaryotic mRNAs that encode for flavin mononucleotide (FMN) biosynthesis and transport proteins. This element is a metabolite-dependent riboswitch that directly binds FMN in the absence of proteins. In Bacillus subtilis, the riboswitch most likely controls gene expression by causing premature transcription termination within the 5' untranslated region of the ribDEAHT operon and precluding access to the ribosome-binding site of ypaA mRNA.
Source: RNAcentral